CUACGGGCUGCUCCAGUGAGGAAUAUUGGUCAAUGGGCGAGAGCCUGAACCAGCCAUCCCGCGUGCAGGAUGACGGCCCUAUGGGUUGUAAACUGCUUUUCUACUAGAAGAAACCUGAUUACGUGUAAUCAGUUGCCGGUAUAGUAGGAAUAAGCAUCGGCUAACUCCGUGCCAGCAGCCGCGGUAAUACGGAGGAUGCAAGCGUUAUCCGGAUUCAUUGGGUUUAAAGGGUGCGCAGGUUGGCUUUUAAGUCAGUGGUGAAAUGCUGCCGCUUAACGGUAGAAUUGCCAUUGAUACUGGAGUCUAGAAUAUGGUUGAGGUAGGCGGAAUGUGUUGUGUAGCGGUGAAAUGCAUAGAUAUGACACAGAACACCGAUUGCGAAGGCAGCUUACUAAGCCAUUAUUGACGCUGAGGCACGAAAGCGUGGGGAGCGAACAGGAUUAGAUACCCUGGUAGUC
Molecule: ribosomal RNA, 458 nt
Filed under: uncultured bacterium
Lineage: Bacteria
Description: partial 16S ribosomal RNA
Rfam family: Bacterial small subunit ribosomal RNA
Source: RNAcentral